RNAcentral lists this ribosomal RNA (372 nucleotides) under uncultured bacterium. RNAcentral's name for it is "bacterial SSU rRNA". It matches the Rfam family "Bacterial small subunit ribosomal RNA", at positions 524 to 898 of the family's 1533-position model. The record is from RNAcentral.
UACGGAGGGUGCAAGCGUUAUCCGGAAUCAUUGGGUUUAAAGGGUCCGCAGGCGGAUUUAUAAGUCAGUGGUGAAAGCCUACAGCUCAACUGUAGAACUGCCAUUGAUACUGUAAGUCUUGAAUUCGGUCGGAGUGGGCGGAAUAUGACAUGUGGCGGUGAAAUGCAUAGAUAUGUCAUAGAACACCGAUAGCGAAGGCAGCUCACUAGGCCUGAAUUGACGCUCAUGGACGAAAGCGUGGGGAGCAAACAGGAUUAGAUACCCUGGUAGUCCACGCCGUAAACUAUCAAUACUCGUUUUCGGCGAUAUACAGUCGGAGACUAAGCGAAAGUGAUAAGUAUUGCACCUGGGGAGUACGAUCGCAAGGUUGAA